CCGAAAUGCAGACGCGGAGGGACAUUGCUGGAACGCGCUUCGGCGCACCCAGAAACCCUUUGUGAACUUAUACCUACUGUUGCCUCGGCGUCAGGCCGGCCUCUUCACUGAGGCCCCCCGGAGACGGGGAGCAGCCCGCCGGCGGCCAACUAAACUCUUGUUUCUAUAGUGAAUCUCUGAGUAAAAAACAUAAAUGAAUCAAAACUUUCAACAACGGAUCUCUUGGUUCUGGCAUCGAUGAAGAACGCAGCGAAAUGCGAUAAGUAAUGUGAAUUGCAGAAUUCAGUGAAUCAUCGAAUCUUUGAACGCACAUUGCGCCCCCUGGUAUUCCGGGGGGCAUGCCUGUUCGAGCGUCAUUUCAACCCUCAAGCCUGGCUUGGUGAUGGGGCACUGCUUCGAGAGGAGCAGGCCCUGAAAUUCAGUGGCGAGCUCGCCAGGACCCCGAGCGUAGUAGUUAUAUCUCGCUUUGGAAGGCCCUGGCGGUGCCCUGCCGUUAAACCCCCAACUUCUGAAAAUUUGACCUCGGAUCAGGUAGGAAUACCCGCUGAACUUAAGCAUAUCAAUAAGCCGGAAGAA
RNAcentral lists this ribosomal RNA (576 nucleotides) under Diaporthe sp. 1 FH-2010. Its description in RNAcentral is "eukaryotic LSU rRNA". The stretch from base 203 to 356 matches the Rfam family "5.8S ribosomal RNA". Lineage: Eukaryota; Fungi; Ascomycota; Sordariomycetes; Diaporthales; Diaporthaceae. The record is from RNAcentral.